Molecule: ribosomal RNA, 626 nt
Filed under: Coccocarpia erythroxyli
Lineage: Eukaryota; Fungi; Ascomycota; Lecanoromycetes; Peltigerales; Coccocarpiaceae
Description: eukaryotic LSU rRNA
Rfam family: 5.8S ribosomal RNA (bases 245-398)
Source: RNAcentral
CCAGCGGAAGGAUCAUUACCGAGGUUUCGACCGGACGGUACGGGGCCCCCGCGGCUCGGUCCGUCCGGGCGCUUUGUCGCCCAACCCCAUGUGAUUGUCAGCCCGUGUUGCCUCGGCGGUCGCCCCCAACCCCCCCCGUUUGUCGGGGUGGCUGGGGCUCCCCCCCGCCGGGUGCUUUGGAUAACUCAUUCCCUGCGACUCCGUGUCAGCAUGCCGUCCGAGGUUCGCGAGCAAAUCAAACAAAAACUUUCAACAACGGAUCUCUUGGUUCCGGCAUCGAUGAAGAACGCAGCGAAAUGCGAUAAGUAAUGUGAAUUGCAGAAUUCAGUGAAUCAUCGAAUCUUUGAACGCAUAUUGCGCCCCUUGGAAUUCCGAUGGGCAUACCUGUUCGAGCGUCAUUGACACUCCGUUCCAGCGUGCGCUGGGCCUUGGGCAAUGUCGACCCGCGAGAAGACAUGCCCCAAAGUGAACGUCGACGCGUCCGGGAGGCUUCGAGCGUAGUAGCAAGUCUCGCUCAGCCGGCCAUCCACGGCGCGUUUCGUCCAGGCAGGCUCCCGGUGGGGCCUGCCCCCGUCGAAUCGCCAUGUUGACCUCGAAUCAGGUAGGGAUACCCGCUGAACUUAAGC